GGGCACGCACACGCGUGUGCACGCACACAGCCCAAAGCAGCCCGCGCGCCCCGCUGCUCCCGUUCCCUCCGGUCCUCCCCGCACCCCGCAGCACACGCACGCGUGCACACGUGUGCAUGCAAACGUACCCAGACACGUGUGCACACGCAAACGUGCGCAGGCAGAUGCAAGUGCACUUGCACGCGCACACGAGUGCCUGCAUGCUCGUGUGCUCAGACACGCGUGCACACGCGCACACACACAAUUGCAUGUAGACAUGUGUGUGCGCACACAUCUGCACGUGCAUGCACACGUGCACACUGGCGCAUGCACACGUCCCCCUGUGCACGCUCACAAACACAUGGCACACGUCCCGGGCUCCGGCGCCGUGUGGGCACGUGCCACACACAAGCGUGUGCCGUGGGAGCCACACACCUGGCUGGUGGCCUGCGGAUUAACACGGCCAGGGCCACGGGGCGCCGCACGCCACCACGAUGUCACCGGCGUGUCACCCAGACCACCGUGACAUCACCGGCACACCCACACACAUUAACAUGAUGUCACUCAGACACUGACACAUGCCAGUGUGAUGUCACCAAGAUGCUGAUGCAUGCCAACGUGAUGUCACCAAGACACCAAUGCUCACUACUAUGACAUCACACCACUGUGACAUCACCAAGGCACCAACAUCACUGGGUGCUGAUGUCACCAAGACCCUGACACUCACCACUGUGAUGUCACCAAGACCCUGAGACACGCCACUGUGAUGUCACUAAGACCCUGACACUCACUACUGUGAUGUCCCAAGACCCUGACACUCGCCACCAUGAUGUCACCAAGACCCCAACACAUGCCACGUGAUGUCACCAGGCCACCAAGGGGGGCUGCCAGUGGGGCCCAGCACGGUGGCACCACACAGCCCACGAGAGCCACCGGGGGACGAGCUCUCACGCCGCCACAUCCCCAGAGCCGGACCCCGAGCCCCUGUCACCCCAGGGACCCCGGGAGGGCACAGAGCUGCUGGCAGGGAGCCAGGCACGAUGCACCAGGCACAGGGCAUGGAGCCGGGCACGAUGCACCAGGCACAGGGCACGGAGCUGGGCACGAUGCACCAGGCACGGUGCACGGAGCUGGGGAAGGCGCACGGAGCUGGGCACAGUGCACCAGGCACAGGGCACGGAGCUGGCCAGCAAUGCAGCCCCACACCACGAUGGGAAAACUCAGGGACACUGGGCAGCAUCGGGGUGCAGGGGCUGUGCCAGCCUCCGUGUCCCUGCCAGCGCUGGGGACCCUGCAUCACCCACGGCCCAGCCCCAGGGCGAGACGGGCGUCGGGGUGCAGGGCCUGCACCGAGAGGCGCCCCCAUAAUUCAACCAGGUGCACGGGGGAUUCGGGGGAAGCCCCCGCCCCGGGAACGCACACACGCAACGCAGCCCUGCACACCCGCCUCAUGCACACGCGCUCGCGCCGUACGUGCACGCACAGCACGUCCCCAAAACACACGCGUGUGCACGCUGUGCCCGGGCACGCACCGACCCGGAGUCACAUCCGCGCACGGGCACCGUCGCACCGCGCACGGGCUGUCUGCCCCCACCCACACCCGCCACGCAGGGUGCCGGCGGUUCGCGGGGUGCCCAGUGGUGUAGUGCGAGGUGCCUGGGGGUCCCCAGGGCUGCCGGGGACUCCCAGGGAAGCAGGGUGCUGGGUGCCCAGGGCUGCAGGGUGCUGCGGGCACAGGAUAUCCCGGGGCAGAGGGUUCCUGGGGUGCUCAAUGGUGCAGGGUGCCCGGGGUGCAGGGGGUGCAGGAUUCCCUGGGUGCCGGCGUUCCUGGGGCGCAGGGUGCUGGGGACGCAUAGGGCACGGGGUGCCUGGGGUGCAGAGCUCCCAGGGUGCAGGAUGCCUGCGGUGCCCAAGGGUGCAUGAUGCUGGGGGCUCCCAGGGUGCAG
Long non-coding RNA from Apteryx haastii (Great spotted kiwi), 1925 nucleotides. The record is from Ensembl. NCBI's taxonomy places the organism in Eukaryota, Metazoa, Chordata, Aves, Apterygiformes, Apterygidae.